This 26-nucleotide non-coding RNA is filed under the name Cricetulus griseus (Chinese hamster). Lineage: Eukaryota; Metazoa; Chordata; Mammalia; Rodentia; Cricetidae. The record is from RNAcentral.
AUGGCGGAGAAUCACUGAGAGCUGCU